This 274-nucleotide ribosomal RNA is filed under the name Lunella undulata. RNAcentral's name for it is "partial large subunit ribosomal RNA". It matches the Rfam family "Eukaryotic large subunit ribosomal RNA", at positions 2648 to 2896 of the family's 3401-position model. The record is from RNAcentral. Lineage: Eukaryota; Metazoa; Mollusca; Gastropoda; Trochida; Turbinidae.
GGUAACGCAGGUGUCCUAAGGCGAGCUCAGUGAGGACGGAAACCUCACGUAGAGCAUAAGGGCAAAAGCUCGCUUGAUUUUGAUUUUCAGUACGAUUACAGACCGUGAAAGCGUGGCCUAACGAUCCUUUUGAGACAAUAUGGCAAUUUAUUGUCGCACUUUAAGAGUUUUAAGCAAGAGGUGUCAGAAAAGUUACCACAGGGAUAACUGGCUUGUGGCAGCCAAGCGUUCAUAGCGACGUUGCUUUUUGAUCCUUSGAUGUCGGCUCUUCCUA